Anguilla anguilla (European eel) is the source of this 2446-nucleotide long non-coding RNA. RefSeq lists it as uncharacterized. The record is from RefSeq and is a predicted model, not a curated record. The transcript has 4 exons. Lineage: Eukaryota; Metazoa; Chordata; Actinopteri; Anguilliformes; Anguillidae.
AGCUUUUUUAAUAAAUAAAAAAAAUCUCCCUUAGAUGAAAAGACAAAAUGGAGGCAUUACAUUUUUAUAAGUUUAAGUCAACCCAACUAUAAACUGCAGUUUGCUUAUCCAAUUAGAUUCCAAGGAUUCUGGGACAUUAUUGAUGGACUUGGCUUUUCUGCAGGUGCCAGCGACCCAUUUGUGUGAUGAUUCAGCUAAAUUCAUUACCCAGAAUUCUCUGCACGGCCGAACAUCUCAUUCUGUGCAAAUGGUCUGAUAUGAGCCCGGCAGGCAGUGCCCCACGCCCCGUUCUGAGCCACUUUCCCGAGAGAGAAGGUGUCUGAUUCAAAGGACAGACAGAGUGGCAGGGCGUGCGUCUGAUGAUGGGUGAUGAGGGUAAUGGAUCAUGGGGUUUAUUUUUCGCCGUGAGUGGGGUUUCUAUUUCACGGGCGACGUGUACAGAGCCGCUGUACACGCUGUGCUAAGGCAGUCCAGACAGAAUAUUCUGUUUCGAUGAUAACGCUCCAGGUAAACAAACGGCUCGGGACCAAGAGAGAGAGAUGCAAAGAGAGAAUGGUGAGGUAUUAAAGGCGUAAGGUACAAUUUUGUUCUAACCACCACGUUGCAUCUGUGUCUCUUCACUUCGACUUUCAUAAUUCCACUGCUGCACACGGGUGGAGCCGUAAAUACCACAGGCUGUAAGCUGCUGCUGGAAGGACAAUCAACAUGGCUGCAGUCAUCAGAACACAGGGCAUCAACGCUGACUAGUGCAUACAGCACCUCUACAUGGGAUCCCUGGGUCAUGGAACCUCAAGACAGGUUCCUGGAAGAGCCAUAGCCAUGGCCCAGGGACAAGAUAAUGGACUUACACUUAAAAGAAAUACAAUACUCUGGGAUAAUAUAAUGAAUGUAGGAGGAAUUGAGGAAAUGCAAAUGCAUGUGGACUCAAUGAAAUGAGAGCUUCCAGAAUACUUACCCGGUUUAUAAGAAUGCACUAGAGCUGGUGCCAAUGUUCUAAAGUGCAAUGGUGUCUUGGGCAACUUAGGUCUUGGAUUCAGAGCCCCUACACCUCGCUCAGAGUCCCAAGAUACCUCUGAGUUUUAGCAGCCCAAGCCAUCAGCCCUCUGAGUACCGAAUAAGGUAACAGGUCCCAAGUACGCCGGAUUUCAGGAAUAGAAUUCAGGUCCCAAGACCUCCGAGUACUGAGACAUGUACCAGGUCCCAAGGCCUCUGAGACAAACUCAGAGGGGUGCUGGUGCCAGGCAUGGACUCAAAGAUGUAGUAUACUGUGGACAUGAGUGGCUCAACCCAUUGCCCACGACCAAGGGGCUGGAUCUGGCAGACCUGCACUGGCACCACCUGAAGGACCCGGCGCGUCCAUGAUGGGGUCAUUUCAUCACACUUCAUUAUUUAUCUGUCUAACAGAUGCCCUUAUCCGAGGCCACCUACAUCAUUAACAUAUUGCCAAUUCACACAGAUAUUUAUAGGGAUGUUUACAGAGGAAAUGCAGGGCGGGCGCCCAAGGGCGCGACAGACGCGCGCUAACUGGGGCUGGACAACCUUCGGAAACCUUCAGGUGACAAACGCUGUCCUCUGACUGAUGCGCCACAUCACUGCACACAUGUUCUCCCACUGAAAACGGCCCACAUACCUAUUCUGUCAGCAUAAAACACUGCAGCUGUCCAGGGCCUAAUAACGCAGUUAAACUUGCUUAAUUACAGCGUCUGAUUAAACAGGGACUGCUUAGGUGGAUUAGUACCAUGUGGACACUAGAUUGCUGACAUUCAUCAAUUUUUCCUUACCUGAGUGUGAGGAAAUGAACAAUGGCAACAGCAGCAGCAGCAGCAGCAACAUGGAAAGGAAACAGAGAAAACAAUUGGCUGUGAGCUCCAGUAAACACGGUACACGUAAACAGAGCACAGAUCACACAUUCCGAGCUUUAUUUGAGCUUUGAUUUCUGUAACUGGGUUAUAUACAUUAUGUAUGCAGUGAAUGCAUAACAUGGUUAGAAUGAUAUAUAAUGCUGAAUAAAAGAGAGCCUGAAAUGUGAAUUUUCCAAAAGACGUAGCACCGUAAGACACAGUCCACACUGCUAUAACCCAUCUGUAGUUGACAAAUGUUAGCAAGUAACAAUGCUACUGUCUUGUGUUUUCAUAAAUGAAAACCUUACACACACGCAUAUAUGUGUUGAUUAUAGAGAAACAGAAAACCUGUCACUGAAGGCAGAAUGAUACAUGGCCCAGCCAGAACAAGCGGGGGACGAAUCCACCAGUGUCAUAAAGGGCGUGGCCUCAGUGAGGGAGCAGUGCGAAAGGGGUCUGCCAAAGAGCACUUCUGCAAUUCUAUUUGCACACUUCCAAAUACUCAGCGCAACCUGAACUGCACGAUCGUUAAUGAAUACUUUGCAUCCGUCACUGUGUGGUGCAACACAAUAAAAGGUGUGUUUUUACACAAGAAGGACUGUUGU